GUCUGAGAGGAGGUACAAGUCAGGGAAGGCUCUGCCCUGUUCCCCCAGACCCUCCUUCCUUCUGAGGAGUCUUUUCUGGUGUCUCCUGGGGUCCUUCUUUUCCACUUUGGAUCAUAUCUGAAUGCUUCUGGCCUGAAGUAAGGAUGACUGGGCCUUCCUUUGUCCUUGGCCCAGGCCAUCCCUGCCACUGGACAAUGAAACAUCAGUCGUUCUACUGCAGACCCGGAGUCAAGGCUGGAAACGAUUCCCAUGAAGAAGUCAAGAAGUCUCUGGGCUACUUACCCUUCAACUCCAUGUGUUACUAGUGAUGGCCGAGGCUCGCUCAGGAGGGGUGCUCUCACCU
RNAcentral lists this long non-coding RNA (343 nucleotides) under Mus musculus (house mouse). RNAcentral's name for it is "predicted gene, 24474". The record is from RNAcentral. Lineage: Eukaryota; Metazoa; Chordata; Mammalia; Rodentia; Muridae.